UAGUCCACGCCGUAAACGAUGUCUACUAGCCGUUGGGAGUCUUGAAUUCUUAGUGGCGCAGCUAACGCGAUAAGUAGACCGCCUGGGGAGUACGGCCGCAAGGUUAAAACUCAAAUGAAUUGACGGGGGCCCGCACAAGCGGUGGAGCAUGUGGUUUAAUUCGAUGCAACGCGAAGAACCUUACCAAGACUUGACAUCCAGAGAACUUACCAGAGAUGGUUUGGUGCCUUCGGGAACUCUGUGACAGGUGCUGCAUGGCUGUCGUCAGCUCGUGUUGUGAAAUGUUGGGUUAAGUCCCGUAACGAGCGCAACCCUUGUCCUUAGUUGCUAGCAGGUAGUGGUGGGAACUCUAAGGAGACCGCCGGUGAUAAACCGAAGGAAGGUGGGGAUGACGUCAAGUCAUCAUGGCCCUUAUGGGGCAGGGGCUACACACGUGCUACAAUGGGCCGGUACAGAGGGGUUGCCAACCCGCAAGGGGGGAGCUAAUCCCCAGAAAGCUGGGUCGUAGUCCGGGAUUGGGAGUCUGGCAAC
Molecule: ribosomal RNA, 531 nt
Filed under: uncultured bacterium
Lineage: Bacteria
Description: bacterial SSU rRNA
Rfam family: Bacterial small subunit ribosomal RNA
Source: RNAcentral